GGCAGNCUANACAUGCAAGUCGAGCGGAAACGAGUUAACUGAACCUUCGGGGAACGUUAACGGCGUCGAGCGGCGGACGGGUGAGUAAUGCCUGGGAAAUUGCCCUGAUGUGGGGGAUAACCAUUGGAAACGAUGGCUAAUACCGCAUGAUAGCUUCGGCUCAAAGAGGGGGACCUUCGGGCCUCUCGCGUCAGGAUAUGCCCAGGUGGGAUUAGCUAGUUGGUGAGGUAAUGGCUCACCAAGGCGACGAUCCCUAGCUGGUCUGAGAGGAUGAUCAGCCACACUGGAACUGAGACACGGUCCAGACUCCUACGGGAGGCAGCAGUGGGGAAUAUUGCACAAUGGGCGCAAGCCUGAUGCAGCCAUGCCGCGUGUAUGAAGAAGGCCUUCGGGUUGUAAAGUACUUUCAGCAGUGAGGAAGGUGGGUAUGUUAAUAGCAUACACAUUUGACGUUAGCUGCAGAAGAAGCACCGGCUAACUCCGUGCCAGCAGCCGCGGUAAUACGGAGGGUGCGAGCGUUAAUCGGAAUUACUGGGCGUAAAGCGCAUGCAGGUGGUUUGUUAAGUCAGAUGUGAAAGCCCGGGGCUCAACCUCGGAAUUGCAUUUGAAACUGGCAAACUAGAGUACUGUAGAGGGGGGUAGAAUUUCNUGNGUAGCGGUGAAAU
This 665-nucleotide ribosomal RNA is filed under the name uncultured bacterium. RNAcentral describes it as "bacterial SSU rRNA". It matches the Rfam family "Bacterial small subunit ribosomal RNA", at positions 41 to 687 of the family's 1533-position model. The record is from RNAcentral.